Molecule: ribosomal RNA, 254 nt
Filed under: uncultured bacterium
Lineage: Bacteria
Description: partial 16S ribosomal RNA
Rfam family: Bacterial small subunit ribosomal RNA
Source: RNAcentral
GACGUAGGGCGCGAGCGUUGUCCGGAUUUAUUGGGCGUAAAGAGCUCGUAGGCGGUGUGUCACGUCGGCCGUGAAAACCUGGGGCUUAACUCUGGGCGUGCGGUCGAUACGGGCAUCACUAGAGUUCGGCAGGGGAGACUGGAAUUCCUGGUGUAGCGGUGAAAUGCGCAGAUAUCAGGAGGAACACCGGUGGCGAAGGCGAGUCUCUGGACGACUCCUGACACUGAGGCACGAAAGCUGGGGGAGCAAACAGG